Molecule: ribosomal RNA, 491 nt
Filed under: uncultured bacterium
Lineage: Bacteria
Description: partial 16S ribosomal RNA
Rfam family: Bacterial small subunit ribosomal RNA
Source: RNAcentral
AGUGAACGCUGGCGGUAGGCCUAACACAUGCAAGUCGAACGGCAGCACAGUAAGAGCUUGCUCUUACGGGUGGCGAGUGGCGGACGGGUGAGGAAUACAUCGGAAUCUACUUUUUCGUGGGGGAUAACGUAGGGAAACUUACGCUAAUACCGCAUACGACCUACGGGUGAAAGCAGGGGAUCUUCGGACCUUGCGCGAUUGAAUGAGCCGAUGUCGGAUUAGCUAGUUGGCGGGGUAAAGGCCCACCAAGGCGACGAUCCGUAGCUGGUCUGAGAGGAUGAUCAGCCACACUGGAACUGAGACACGGUCCAGACUCCUACGGGAGGCAGCAGUGGGGAAUAUUGGACAAUGGGCGAAAGCCUGAUCCAGCCAUACCGCGUGGGUGAAGAAGGCCUUCGGGUUGUAAAGCCCUUUUUUGGGAAAGAAAAGCAGCAGGUUAAUACCCCGCUGUUCUGACGGUACCCAAAGAAUAAGCACCGGCUAACUUCGUG